AGGAGAGUUUGAUCCUGGCUCAGGAUGAACGCUGGCGGCGUGCCUAACACAUGCAAGUCGAACGGAGAUUUAACGCUGAUGAGGCUUCGGCGGAUUCUUGUUAAAUCUUAGUGGCGGACGGGUGAGUAACGCGUGGGCAACCUGCCUCAUACUGGGGGAUAACAGUUGGAAACGACUGUUAAUACCGCAUAAGCGCACAGUAUCGCAUGAUACAGUGUGAAAAACUCCGGUGGUAUGAGAUGGGCCCGCGUCAGAUUAGCUAGUUGGCGGGGUAACGGCCCACCAAGGCGACGAUCUGUAGCCGGACUGAGAGGUCGGACGGCCACAUUGGGACUGAGACACGGCCCAAACUCCUACGGGAGGCAGCAGUGGGGGAUAUUGCACAAUGGAGGAAACUCUGAUGCAGCGACGCCGCGUGAGUGAAGAAGUAUUUCGGUAUGUAAAGCUCUAUCAGCAGGGAAGAAAGGCUCGAAAGAGAGAUGACGGUACCUGACUAAGAAGCCCCGGCUAACUACGUGCCAGCAGCCGCGGUAAUACGUAGGGGGCAAGCGUUAUCCGGAUUUACUGGGUGUAAAGGGAGCGCAGACGGUCAUGCAAGUCUGAAGUGAAACCCCACGGCUCAACCGUGGGCUUGCUUUGGAAACUGCGUGACUAGAGUACUGGAGAGGUAAGCGGAAUUCCUAGUGUAGCGGUGAAAUGCGUAGAUAUUAGGAGGAACAUCGGUGGCGAAGGCGGCUUACUGGACAGCAACUGACGUUGAGGCUCGAAGGCGUGGGGAGCAAACAGGAUUAGAUACCCUGGUAGUCCCCU
Molecule: ribosomal RNA, 810 nt
Filed under: uncultured Bacillota bacterium
Lineage: Bacteria; Bacillati; Bacillota
Description: bacterial SSU rRNA
Rfam family: Bacterial small subunit ribosomal RNA
Source: RNAcentral